Salmo salar (Atlantic salmon) is the source of this 1634-nucleotide non-coding RNA. NCBI's taxonomy places the organism in Eukaryota, Metazoa, Chordata, Actinopteri, Salmoniformes, Salmonidae. The record is from RefSeq and is a predicted model, not a curated record.
CAUAAUGAAUCAGAUUACAUGGAGAGGAGGGACCUGAUCCUAUAUCAUAAUGAAUCAGAUUACAUAGACAGGGGGACCUGAUCCUGAUUCAGCACUCCUCCUUUGAGACACUGCCUUUAUGAAUAAGGAAUGCUGUUGUAAAGUCUAGUUACAGCAGGUGUUUACUGCCAUCUAGUGGAUGAUUCCAAUAAAACACUUUAUUAUCAGGGUGGGGAGACGGCUGAGUGCAGGAUCCAUGGUGAGAUGACAAAAGAGGAAAACACACUAUAUGGAGAGAAGUACAAAUAAAGUAUUUCUGAACAAUAAAGGACAGAGUAAGAUAAUGAAUACCUGGAAUGACAUAUUAUUACUAGUUAGUAGAUCUCUUCUGUCAUCAUUAUUUACCCAUACACCGGUGACGUCAGAAGGGACGUGAUUUCCUCAUAUGAAAGUGAAAGUAACUGUGGUUACAAAAUGUAGCGCACAUUUCUCAGCAACAUUAGAAGCAGGAUAAAUGUGUUGAUUUGAAGGACAGACUGACAGACUCUGGAUCCAUUUUGAGAUGACAGAGCAGAAAACACUAUAUGGACAAUACUGACAAAUAAAGGGAAGCCUGGGCAACUGAAAUGUCUGAGCUUUUUCAACAGUGUAACUAUGAACAUCUGUACCAAAACCAAAUGAAGGGAGACAUAGAUAUGAUUAAAAAACAACUGUUGAUGCGACAUGAAAAAAGAUGGGUGGAGGAGAUGAAUCAUAAACCCAAAUUGAGAACCUUUUGUUUGAUUCAGGGUGAAUUGGUGUGUGAGAGAUAUAUUAUGUAUAACCUACCUAAAAGCAAGAGAUCUCUAUGUGCACAGGGAAGAUCAGGGAUAUUGUCUCUGUGUAUUGAAACAGGUCAGAUCAGGGAUAUUGCCUCUGCGUAUUGAAACAGUUCAGAUCAGGGAUAUUGUCUCUGAGUAUUGAAACAGUUCAGAUCAGGGAUAUUUCCUCUGAGUAUUGAAACAGGUCAGAUCAGGGAUAUUGUCUCUGAGUAUUGAAACAGGUCAGAUCAGGGAUAUUGUCUCUGAGUAUUGAAACAGAUUAUUUCAGGAGUAUUGUCUCUGUGUAUUGAAACAGGUACGAUCAUGGAUAUUGCCUCUGAGUAUUGAAACAGGUAAGAUCAGGGAUAUUUUCUCUGAGUAUUGAAACAGGUCAGUAUUGUGGUGAAAUGGAGGAAAGACUAUGUAACUAUUGUGACCUUAAAGAAAUAGAGAAUUAAACUGAUUUAAUCCUCUAUUUCCUUUUCUACCAUGACAUACGCUUGCUCUUAUUCCAGAAAGACCACCAGAUAUACCCUGGCAGUAUGUGAUGAGUGAUGAGGAGAAAUUGAAAUGUUUUUUUUGUCCAUUGUGUAUUUCCGUUUGUGGAAUAUUUAGAUAAAUCCUGGAAUAUAAGAAAAAUGUUUACCUAUAAUUAAAUUGUAAAAAUAUUUAGCUUCUGCGUGGUAAAUGGUACAUGUGUAUAUAGAUUGUGUAUAGACUUGUCUCCCAUAUGAAUCUUCUAUGUGGUAAAUGGUAUGUGUAUAUAUAGAUUGUGUAUAGACUUGUCUCCCAUAUGACUCUUCUAUGUGGUAAAUGGUAUGUGUAUAUAUAGAUUGUGUAUAGACUUGUCUCCCA